Molecule: non-coding RNA, 124 nt
Organism: Triticum urartu
Lineage: Eukaryota; Viridiplantae; Streptophyta; Magnoliopsida; Poales; Poaceae
Source: Rfam
UUAAUACUCCCUCCGUCCGAAAAUACUUGUCCUAGAAAUAGAUGUAUCUAGAUUUAUUUUAGAUAUACAUACAUCCAAUUUAUCCAUUUGGAGAACAAAUAUUACUGGAUAGAGGGAGUACCUA